This 213-nucleotide ribosomal RNA is filed under the name Staphylococcus epidermidis. Its description in RNAcentral is "partial 23S ribosomal RNA". It matches the Rfam family "Bacterial large subunit ribosomal RNA", at positions 164 to 372 of the family's 2925-position model. The record is from RNAcentral. Lineage: Bacteria; Bacillati; Bacillota; Bacilli; Caryophanales; Staphylococcaceae.
AUAGCAUGUCAGAAGGCAGACCCGGAGAACUGAAACAUCUUAGUACCCGGAGGAAGAGAAAGAAAAAUCGAUUCCCUGAGUAGCGGCGAGCGAAACGGGAAGAGCCCAAACCAACAAGCUUGCUUGUUGGGGUUGUAGGACACUCUAUACGGAGUUACAAAAGAACAUGUUAGACGAAUCAUCUGGAAAGAUGAAUCAAAGAAGGUAAUAAUC